GAUUGGUCGAUUCCGUCACUCUGGUAGCCGAGCGUGUUUUGCAGUGCUGUAGACGACGGAAGAUCAGUAAUACAGCAUCAUGUUUCAGACUAUACCUGUAUCGCAAGCGUCUCGACGGGUGGAGCGAGGGGAAUUAAAGGAACUAUUUUAAGUAUCUACUAUGAUCCCUUUAAAUGGUCCCUGGUGAAGAGUAUUCUGUUCUUUGCUGUUGGUGUCAAAACUGCAAAUGAUUUUGUUGGAUUUGAUGUUCUUAAUCCAAAUCCACAGUAAAGGUGUGUCCGUAUAAGAAUUUUCCUGAGAAGAUGGUUUAAUAGAAGAAAGAUUGUUUCUUAUACAAUGUAUAGUAUAUUACAAUGCCUAUUUUGUAAUUGUUUGUGUAAACACUGUAAAAACUAUAUGAAUUUUUAUUUCUGUUUUUGAGAAAUAACAAAAGGUUAAAAAAA
Molecule: non-coding RNA, 443 nt
Organism: Penaeus vannamei (Pacific white shrimp)
Lineage: Eukaryota; Metazoa; Arthropoda; Malacostraca; Decapoda; Penaeidae
Source: RefSeq, a predicted model, not a curated record